GACGAACGCUGGCGGCGUGCUUAACACAUGCAAGUCGAACGGAAAGGCCCCUUUGGGGGUACUCGAGUGGCGCACGGGUGAGUAACACGUGAGUAACCUGCCCUUGACUUCGGGAUAACUUCAGGAAACUGGGGCUAAUACCGGAUAGGAAUCCUUGCUGCAUGGUGGGGGUUGGAAAGCUUCGGCGGUUUUGGAUGGACUCGCGGCUUAUCAGCUUGUUGGUGGGGUAGUGGCUUACCAAGGCUUUGACGGGUAGCCGGCCUGAGAGGGCGACCGGCCACAUUGGGACUGAGAUACGGCACAGACUCCUACGGGAGGCAGCAGUGGGGAAUAUUGCACAAUGGGCGGAAGCCUGAUGCAGCAACGCCGCGUGCGGGAUGACGGCCUUCGGGUUGUAAACCGCUUUCAGCAGGGGCGAAGCUUGUGGUGACGGUACCUGCAGAAGAAGCACCGGCUAACUACGUG
This 465-nucleotide ribosomal RNA is filed under the name uncultured bacterium. RNAcentral's name for it is "partial 16S ribosomal RNA". It matches the Rfam family "Bacterial small subunit ribosomal RNA", at positions 28 to 507 of the family's 1533-position model. The record is from RNAcentral.